GAGGACCGUGACAAGACCUGGCUGUGCACGUGUAGACGCCCACCCUCGUGCACAUCUGCAAAGCACCGACCAAAGCAAAUAAGUAAACGAGCGGAAGGAAGAAAUCUCAACCUCCCUGAACUGAUGGAGGUGCCCAUUACCAAGGAAUGCUCCUUCCUGUCCUCUACUUCCUGUGGGUGGGGGUGCACCUGGAGACACUCUUUCUCCUGGUGAGGAUGCUGCCGUGGGCUGCCAGGGCCUGGCUCCUGCGGGCCUCGCCCCACCCGCGGACUUGUCUGCACAGGUCCCACUUCCCAGGCCACACGGGCACCAAGGGUGUAUCCUGGAAGGGUGUUGGCCAAGGGACAGGGCCAGGCAAGCGGAGCCCUGCUGUCCUGAGGAGCAGGAUCCUCUCCUGAAGUGACCACUACUCCCAGCCAGUGGGCAAGCCGAGGGCUCCAUUCUUAGCGGUCUGAGAGCUGCCAGCUGCGGGCUGUGGGCAGAGGCCUGGGCUCUGAGUCAUGCCCGUUUCCCCUGGAGGUGAGUGGGUGGCUGACCCUGCAGGUGGAACAGGAUGGGGAACCUUCUUCCCCGAUCUCCUGACUCCUGAGUGGUCGGACACAACUCCAGACGACCUGCCAGAGCCUGUCCAUCCUGGGGAGCCCGGGUGUGCAGGAGGCCUCCCGUACGCCCCGGCCUCCCGUACGCCCCGGCCUCCAGUAGCCACCCCAUCUUGAGGAUCCCGGCUGCCUUCCUCAUUCCUAGUCCUCUGCUGCCACCUCGGCAAGAUGAGGUCCUCGUCCCCUGCCUGCUCCAGCCUCAGGUCAGCUGCCCAAGGUGGACCUCAUCCCUCCCUUCCUCAGUCCAGCUGUAUGGGCCCAUCCCGAACCCACCAGGAUCCUUCUUGCAGGACAAGGCCAGUCUGUCAAGGUCAUGCAACUGGUCCGUGCCCACUGCUCCCUCCUGGCCCCUCUGGACCCUCCCUUCUCCCUCUCUGGCUCUCUGAGAGGCCCUGUUGUGGCCCUUCUCGGUGUCCAUUCGCCAGCCUUGGUGGCCCUCCUCUCAGGCACCCACCCAGCUCCAGGGCCUCAGGCCCCUGGAAGCCCUUGUCUCCAGCAAACCUGACCUGAGGCCCCAGCCCUUCCAGGCCCGGGGCUUGGUGCCAGGACCCCGGGCCUCUGCAGGAGGUCCAGGCACUAGCCUGACCCCUCCAGGUCCUCAGGGCUAGCGGGUGUGGCGCUGAGCUGGGCGCGCACCCUUGAUGUGGUCACUAGCACUGUGUCCUCCGGGGUCCGUCCUUAAACUCCAGGAGCAAACCUGUGCCUCCCAGGACAGGAGGGCAGCAGACGGAGCAGGGAUGGAGGAGGGGCACAGAGGACAAGUGCAUGCAGGUGUGAACAGCGUCCCCACUGCCGCCGGACUAGAGUGACAACGUGAAGUUCUCUGGAGAUUGCCAAGUAUCCUCUGGAAUUCAGUCACCGCAGGUGGUGGCUGUUCUACCUGUGGCCCGGCUACCGUUGCCUCCCAAGCCUAAGCCUGACCAAGGACAGGAGGAUGACACCUCCCCAGCCACAGCUCCCUGCUCAGAGAGCCCCAUCUGCCCCAUUCUUUCCUGGGGGUGAAGGAGCCCACUGUGGAGAUGCCCCCAGAAGAGCCGAGCGGGCAGGCCUGCAGCUGUAAGGAUGACCGAGGCAGUCAGCUGGACAGCCUGGGACAGAGGUCCUCGAGAGGAAAGGGCACCACCCCGGGCGUUGAGGCUGAGGCUUCUGCAGGCCUGCAGGGCCCCCCAAGCCUGUCACUGGGACCCUGGAAUGGUGACUGCUGCUGUUGCUGCCCGCACAUCCGGGGCCCCCAGACCAGAACCAGCCUGCUCACAGGGCCAGUUCCCUUUUGGCUUAACGCUGACGCGCCUGGUGGGACCUGAGCCUGUUCCUCUGCGGGCACUCUGCCUUGUUACUCUCUGAAAUCAUGAGUAAGUAGGACUGGGCAGGGCACAGAUCGGCUCCCAGGGGCCGCCUCAGACCCACGCAUGCUCAGAGGUGACCUGUGAAGGGACCGAGUCAUGACUGUCGCACACAGAGAGAAGGAUGGCACGUGUUUGGGGGGAAAUCCGUCAGAGGUUGGCGAGGUCGAGGGAGAAGGAAAAGGCACGAGUGGACGUGGAGCAAUGGCCCCUCAGGGAUGGGGUGCCUGCUCACGUUGGGGUCCCCGCUGCCCACCACGCCCUCCUGCUCGGUGGCCGCCAUGGCGUGGUGGGCUGCACUGCCGGGACCUGUCCUGUGCACCUGUGUCCUCUACAGCCACCACUGUCCACGACGUGCCCAUGAUGGGGCCCCUCCCCCACCCACCGUGCACCUCCAGCGAAGACCCACAGCUCUGUCCUUGGGGACGGUGGGUCAAGGGUGUGUGGGGUGCAGAGCCCGGCACAGGGCAGGCCUCCCGGGUCUGAUGAUGGCAACGAGCCGCCCACUUUACAGAGGUCCACAGGGUGCGGGCUCGGGGGCAACCCCGGGUUUGCAGAGGGCAGAGGUGGGGGCAGCCUGGUGGGGCAGGAGGGAGGCCGGGGAGGCGUGAUGUGGUGGGGGAGUCUCCUAUGGAGAAGGAUGACAUCAGAGGACAGGGCAGCAGCUGGAUCCCGCAGAUGUGGGCAGGUACUGGGCUGGCCCUCCCCGCACUGGGUACCCUCUGUCCUGUGGUGCUGAGCAGCCGGUGCCCACCUCCUGGCCACUGUGCAGCAGGGCCCAGCUCUCUGCUGUGCUGUUGGGGAACAGCUGUGUCCCAGGGGCAAGGGUCCUGAGGAGGCCCCCGGAGGGGGAUGGACCUCAACUCAGGCCAUAAGGGUCCUUGGCGUCAUCACGGAAAGGACUCUCAGGACAGGUGAAAGCGAGGCCAGGCUGACCUCCCUGAGAGAGGAAGCCCGCUCUGAGAGGGUGCAGAGUGGGCGUCGGGCAGCGGAGCUGUGCGGGCCAGGCUCGCAGCGCCGUCAGAUCAGCAUGGCAGACAGAGGGCGGGGGGGUGUUUCCAGCGGGCCCCUGGGCUGCGACUGGGCAGCUGACCACAGGGCUGAUUUCCUCAUUGCCGAUGUGUCCUGCUCUGCGCACACGGUCCCUCUGUGCGCCUGGGCGUGAGGCCUCGUGGUUGACUCAGCUGCUGUGUGUGACCAAGCGUGUGCACGUGCCUGGAGGUCUGGGUUGGAGUGUGGCCCCUCUUGGUGGCCCCACAAGCCUCCUCUCCACCCGUCCUUAAGUCCAUCCUCCUUCAGUGCAGCCCUGGGGCCUGCGGCACCUCCUCAGUGGGCAGUGGGCAGUGUCUUGACACUGGCCCAUCCCCCGUGGCCCAGGCUGGAGCCCCUGCCCUCUGCUGGGCACUCACGUGGUCUCAGGUGGUCUCAGGGCUCAGCAGAGUCUGGCUGGGGUCGGCCAUGGCCCCCGGGGCUGGGCAUUCUCUCGGGCCUGGGCUGUAGUGGACUGGGACCUCUAACCCAGGGAUUUUCAGGACACGCAUGUGUGUUCCUUCUUCCCCAACAUCUGCACGGCCGGCGGGAGCCCCAGACGCUGGGACACUGGGGCUGGUCUUCCAGAGAAGCACAUUCCAAGUCUUCACUCUUGACCGUGGCUGAGGGGUCAAGCCUGUGUCCAUGGCUCCCAGAGAAGCAAACAGAAGCAAUCCCUCCCCUCGGCACGGGACGCCCACCUGGCCAGCACUGGCCAGCACUCGCCAGCCGAGGUCCUGAGGGCUUGGCCAUCCAUCUCUCAGCAUUCAUUAGGCACCUACUACAUGCUCCACAGGGAGAGCUAGAGGCAGAUUGUGCAUCAUCCCUCUGGUUCAGAGAAGACGCUGGGUCCAGGAUGAGCUGAAGAGCCCUGCCACCGGCCCAGCGCCCACGGCUCCCACGGCCCCACGGCCUCCACGGCCCCCAUGGCCCCUGACCCCCA
Ictidomys tridecemlineatus (thirteen-lined ground squirrel) is the source of this 3914-nucleotide non-coding RNA. The record is from RefSeq and is a predicted model, not a curated record. Lineage: Eukaryota; Metazoa; Chordata; Mammalia; Rodentia; Sciuridae.